UUAUUGUUGCCUGGAGCGAUUUGUUCGAUCUUUUCAACCUCGACGCUUUGGAUCUUUCUCUCAUUCGGUGCUUUGCAUUGCACAUGCAACAAGAGACAAGGCGUCGAACCGGAAAGAAGUGUGGGUACAUUGACCCACAGAUGAUGACGGUGACAUUUAUGAAUUCAGAUAGAGAUAGCUUGGUCAGGUACAUGGUGAAGUGCAUGCGAGUACAUGCUGACA
This is a long non-coding RNA of Panicum hallii, 222 nucleotides long. RefSeq lists it as uncharacterized. The record is from RefSeq and is a predicted model, not a curated record. The transcript is spliced from 3 exons. Lineage: Eukaryota; Viridiplantae; Streptophyta; Magnoliopsida; Poales; Poaceae.